Long non-coding RNA from Lagenorhynchus albirostris (white-beaked dolphin), 621 nucleotides. RefSeq lists it as uncharacterized. NCBI's taxonomy places the organism in Eukaryota, Metazoa, Chordata, Mammalia, Artiodactyla, Delphinidae. The transcript has 4 exons. The record is from RefSeq and is a predicted model, not a curated record.
GAAAGGACUGCUGGGAUUUUGGUUGGGAUCACAUCGAACGUGUAGAUCAACUUAGAGAAGAAAUGAUAAUAUUGAGUUUUCCAAUCCAUGAUAAUGGUGCUCUCGAUCCUGGGCCAGAUUAGAUGCAGCGAGAGACAUGUAUAAAGCCAACACACUGUGUUACUACAAGCAGGUGUGCUUGUCUCCCACCAGUCUGCCUCCAGCUUUCCUUCCCCAAAGCCUGUCUUGCCAGUCUGCAGGCAGGUGGCUUCGGGGCCAGCAGCAGAGGAGUUGGCCUUCCGGAGAGCCCUCGAUAGACUCCCAUUCAUGUUCACAGCCGUUGUGUAUGUGUCAUCUCUAGUACUGAAUGAUAAAGUUCUUCAAGGACCACACGAAACUUCUCUUUAUUCUUCAACAGCUGCUGCCACAACAAUCAAAUUCUAGACAACAAAAUAACAAAUCAAGCCUUGAUUUGUGGUCGUGCCAGUUUCCCUAGUGUAAAUACUCCCAAGAUGGCUGAUGUCCAAGCUCCCAGUGUGAUGUCAGUGAACAUGGAAUCGGGAAGAAAUGUAUGAUACAGAUGCAAUAGAUGUAAAUAAGCUUAAAGUCCAUAGAUAACAGUAAAAUAUAGUAAAAUAAUUA